This is a long non-coding RNA of Pogoniulus pusillus (Red-fronted tinkerbird), 3220 nucleotides long. RefSeq lists it as uncharacterized. Lineage: Eukaryota; Metazoa; Chordata; Aves; Piciformes; Lybiidae. The record is from RefSeq and is a predicted model, not a curated record. The transcript has 2 exons.
CCAUCCUUCUCCUAGUAAUUUUUUAAGGUAAUAAAUUUCCACUUCUUUUAAUAAUUCAUUUUCACCUGAGCAGACUCGAGGUGGGCUUUAACUUUCUCCCAGUGGCUGGUAAGAAGCCUGUAAACCACACCGUUUAAAACCACCCGUGCUCGUAUGUCUGCCCUCAGACUCCUUUGCUGCCUAGGAUUUGCUCGCUUGGCUGGUUGGCUCCGGCUGUCAGUGAAGCGGUGGCUUUAAGAGCUGCAUCCUUUCCCCACGCCGUGCCUUUGGGGUUGCACUCUCCCUCCCCCAGAUCUUAGAUUCCCUCUCUGCAGGAUGUCAGCUGCCCUCCUUGUCUCUUCCCUUCAGUGGGAUGGCUUCCUCUGCUCUUACUGUGAUAAGAGUUUGUUUUCUUCUCCAACAUACCCUGGGCGACUACUGCUCUCUGCAUUUUUCUGCUUUGAUACCUGCAUUUAUGUUCCGAUUUCUCUCUCUCUCCUGGGGCCAUACUGCUUUACUUUUCCCACCCAAAGCAGCUCUGCAACAAAGACAGGUAUAACUAAUAGCACCGGGCUCCAUCAGUGAAGCAGAGUUCAAUUUACCCUUUGCAGAGAUGGUACAAAAUCGGGCACAGGCAAGAAACGUUGGGCUAAGAUUUAUGUAGGACUGUUUGUCUAAAUGAGUCCCCUACUUCCUUAUUUCCACGGAGCAAGGAAGCUGCAGACAUCUGCUCUGUGCCUGAUACCACCUUCAAUUCCACCAGAAGAAACUUUCCCCAAGAUACAGAAGCAGGUGAGGCUUUUGGUAUCAGUGGCUCUGUUUCCAUCAAGGAGAUAGAUGCAGGGUGUGGGUUUGAUCUGCAGCUCCUGGCUGCAAGCAGCCUACGUGUGCAGUAGAAAUCCAUUGCUCCAGGCACCACCUGCUCUCCAAAGAGAGAGAGACACAGAGCUUGAAUUCAGCCCUCUCUGAGGCUACCUGCUGUGGCCACGGGGACAGAGGAGCGCUUGCUUUGCUCAGGCACAGCGUGUUUCAACAGCCCCUCGUCCUCCUCGGAGAGAAACCCUGCUGUUCUCUCCACUGCUACUUUUGUGCAGGUCUGAUAUGAGGUUAGACGCUUCUCUUGUCCGAGCUGUGGCAGCCCUGUCUCCUGCAGGAUGGUGGGUAGCUGCCGGAGAACAAGCUCCAGGGCAAGCUGCCUGUCUACAAGACACACUCUAAAUUUGGGGGCUGAAGGAAGACUCCAGCAAGCUGCAGACACGCAGAAAGUCUUCUAUGUCCAGGCUGCAGUUAGAGAGAAAUCCACUUUUAUGCCUGAAAGUUACAUGGUUUAUGGCUUUUGAAACGUGUGCUAAGGCUCUUGUGUGUCACAUGCAAGGCCUUGCACGGCCCCAGCACCUCGCUGUGCAGAUAGUCCUGACUUCAGAUGGAAAGGGAUGUCAAAACUAAUGAAAAAUAGGCUGACUUUAUACUAGCCCUGUAACAAAAUAAAUUGAGGGGAAUGUGUUAACUUUUGUUUUACUUAACUUUGCCAACUUUCAAGUCAGCUCUCAAGCACCCAGAAGGUUUUAGAAAAUGUUUAAUCUAGCUCAGACAAUUUCCUGAACUCCCUAACUGGACCACCCCAUUUUCUGACAUGCUGCCAAAAGGCCCUAGUUACUCACAGGCUCUAGUGUGCUGCUCUUUCACAACUUCUUGCUGUCCUCUCACCCCCACCCUCAAGCCGUUGUGCGUGCCUUAAUAUAGUCCAGAAAGAGGAACCUCCUAGACCUCGCUGUCAAUGCCUGGUGAAGCAAGCCCUGCUGGUAGCCACCAAUGUGCCUGGCAAAUGGCUGCCCCAGCAUGCUCCAAGGCUGUGUACAGUGUGAGUGUCAGUGCACCGCCUGCCUGCUCCAGGGGUGCCCUGCCCACCCUCCCAGGUCACCUCUGCCCAUAGUGUCAGGCUUUGAGCUCUGCAUCUCUGCCUAAAGAACCCAGAGAUGCUCCCUGUUGUGGUCACACAGAAUGAUCACGGAGGAUGUGAUCAUACAGGAUGCUUUUUUUCAUACUGACUUAUACUCUAGGUUUUCUGUCCUCAUGCUCCUGAAGCCAAACCCUGUGUUUGGCAAAAAACAGCAGGGAAUGUAUCUCAGGGUCAUGGCACGAAUAGAAUGAUGACUGUCACCUCUCUCUCAUCUUCCUCACUACUACAUGUUGCCUGUGCAGCUACCCCAGAGCGGGGAGUGAGGAGGAGCACACAGGGCACAUGGGGAUGCUAUGCUGAUGUCAGCCUUCAAAGAUGCAACUUUCAGACCUUAACAGUUACUUAUUUUUCUAACAGAGCUGGAGUUUCAACAAAGCCACAGCUCACUGGGGUUUUAGUCACUCUCCCACUCAGCAGUGCUUGCUGUUUGGGGGCUUAUCACCAUGUGAUAAAAGUUUCCUCCUGAAACUUAGUUUCCUGCUCUUUUUGUGUGCUUCCCUUCAUUGUCCACCCACACCACUGGCUCCAAAUAAGUGCAGAGAGUUCCCUAGAGCUCUCCACCACCUACUCAUCACCCCUGCUGUCCUUCCUCACCUGCCCACUUGCACUGUCUGCUCUUGGUCACAGUGGACGUGGGAGAAUGGGGAAAACUGGCUGGGCUUUUGCAGAGAUUUGUGGAGGGAUCUGUUCUUUCUUUCCCCAGACCUAACUGGCCCACCUCGCAGACUUUUACUGGAAGAGAUAUCACUCAGCCACAAACAUAAUUGAAAUAAGAAGUCAGGAGGAAGAAAAAGGCAGCAGCUUAAAAAAAGCAUAGUGAAGAGUUAUAGUGCUGGGCUCACACAUCUUACUGCAGCUUCUUGCUGGCUUAAACUGGCAGAGGAGUCAUCAGAAGUCCACGAGAUAGAGACACCGCUUGUAAAAGGCUUGGGUUUAACCCCUAAGUUCACCAGCCACUUAUCCAGGACCUGCGGCCAGAAACCUGUCUCCUCUCCUUUUACUGGGGGCCGUCUCUUUCCUGGCUUUUGUACAUCCCACUGGCCCACAGUGAUCGCUGUGAAGAUCAGCCAGCACCUUUGGGGUCCCCAGCUGUCAUGCUGGGACACUUAGGAGAAACGGGAGCGGGGAUAUUUUGGCCACUGGCUGUGACAGGACACAUCUCCAGGAGUUUACAUGUUAACAUCUGUACCAGGAAAUCCUCUCUCUCGGUGUCAGAGGGUUAGACAAAUACCUGAUAAAGAAAUAAAGCUGUCAAAUAAAUUUACUUUACAGAAAGACUGA